Macrobrachium nipponense is the source of this 1042-nucleotide RNA transcript. RefSeq lists it as uncharacterized. The record is from RefSeq and is a predicted model, not a curated record. NCBI's taxonomy places the organism in Eukaryota, Metazoa, Arthropoda, Malacostraca, Decapoda, Palaemonidae. The transcript is spliced from 6 exons.
GCCAAGCCUUAGUCAGUUUCCCUCUGUCUUCAGUGCUGUGCAAACGCAUUUUCUUUUGAGUUAUGGAAUGGAAGUUUAUUUUCUUCAUUUGCCGUGUCCUUUUUCUCAUUUCUUUGUCUUCUGCCCAUUCAGCUUCAGAAACCAGGACCACUUCAAGGGGCAAUUCCACAACCUUUACUCUACCAGAGGAGGAAAACGUUGUGGUUGCAAUCUUGACGGAAAGAGCACCUAACUGGUCAUAUCUCAACUACAGAUUCUCUGUCCAUGGAGAGAAAUACACACAGAGAAGUUAGAUUACACAAACACUCCAUCACAGUGGAAGCCUCUCCUCUUUAUAUCCAAAGAGGUGAUACGUAGCUAUGUUUGGAACGAGUACUGGAUCCCAAAAGAAAACCUAGAACUAAAAGGACGACAAGUGGAAGUGUCAAGUUCGCAUCCUGUGAAGUGGCAGGUUCUCAGUCUGCCCCUGAACGACUAUGAUAGGACUGUGAUAUCUCCUGGUCAAGAAUCACCUAUCAACCUUCCGGAACAUAAUCAUGUAUGGAUAGCCCUUGGAACAAGAAGAAAUUUGAUACUACAGUUCGUUUCUCUUUGAUUUAUGAAUAUCCAACGCAAACAAAUUGAGCAUUGUGAAGUAACUGUCAAAGAUGACUGGUCGAUUUUGUCUAUAUCUGCACUCACCAUCUUUUAUGGAAAUAAUUGGUUUAUCAUUGUGGCACUCAACUACAAGUACGCAACUUGACGAUAAUUGCGACUCACCAACUACACCUUCAAGUGUUCCCGAUGCCCUUAGAGCCACAAGAAACAAGCAAAUUUCCUGCCACAAUUACAGGAAUGUAUACAGGAACAACUACAAACAAACCUCAAGUUCCUCCUACAGGAACAUCUACAGGCCCAUCUCCAGUCCAACCUGAAGAUUCAGCCACAGGGAUACCUGUAAGCACACUAAUCAUCAUCGGUGUCGUGGUGGCAGUGUGGUUGUCGUAGCUGCGUCUUUCCUUUGCUACAGGUGUUGCUUCAGGAAGCAGAACGACACAAGAGA